This 933-nucleotide long non-coding RNA is filed under the name Salmo salar (Atlantic salmon). RNAcentral describes it as "lncRNA (ENSSSAG00000082115.1)". Lineage: Eukaryota; Metazoa; Chordata; Actinopteri; Salmoniformes; Salmonidae. The record is from RNAcentral.
UGCGGGGAUGGGGCUAGGAUUAAAAAUGUAAUAAAUUAAAUAAAAAUAUGGGACUAAACACACAUAACGACAAGAGAGACAACACAACAUAACCUACGACAACAAUGUAUGGCAGCAACACAUGACAACACAGCGUGGUAACAACACAUGACAACACAGUGUGGUAGCAACACAUGACAACACAGUGUGGUAACAACACAUGACAACACAGUGUGGUAGCAACACAUGACAACACAGCGUGGUAACAACACAUGACAACACAGUGUGGUAGCAACACAUGACAACACAGCAUGGUAGCAACACAUGACAACACAGCGUGGUAACAACACAUGACAACACAGUGUGGUAGCAACACAUGACAACACAGCAUGGUAGCAACACAGCAUGGUAGCAACACAUGACAACACAGCAUGGUAUGAACUCAACAUGACAACAACACGGUAGCAACACAACAUGGCAGAAGCCCAACAUGGUAGCAGGUACAAACAUUAUUGGGCACAGACAACAGCACAAAGGGCAAGAAUGUAGAGACAACAACACAUCCCGCGAAGCAGCCACAACUGUAAUUUGUAAAUCCGUUGUGGAUUGUUGUCCUCUGUUGACCUCUGAUUCAGACAGUGGCUCUAAGUUGUGGAGUGUUGUCCUGUGUUGACCUCUGAUUUAGAUGGGGCCAAUCAAUUGUGAAGUGUUGUCCCGUGUUCAACUUUUGACUCAGACAGAGGCUAUCAAUGCUGUACUGUUGUCUUGUUUUGAACUCUAAUUCAGUUGUGGAGUGUUGUUCUUUUCCAGAGGAGAGUAGGCAGCCUGGGGUAGAGGAGACAGCCUGGGGUAGAGGAGAGUAGGCUGCCUGGGGUAGAGGAGAGUAGGCUGCCUGGGGUAGAGGAGAGGAGGCAGCUUGGGGUAGAGGAGAGGAGGCUGCCUGGGGUAGAGGAG